UGAGGAAUAUUGGUCAAUGGGCGAGAGCCUGAACCAGCCAAGUAGCGUGCAGGAAGACGGCCCUAUGGGUUGUAAACUGCUUUUAUGUGGGGAUAAAGUGAGCUACGUGUAGUUUAUUGCAGGUACCACAUGAAUAAGGACCGGCUAAUUCCGUGCCAGCAGCCGCGGUAAUACGGAAGGUCCAGGCGUUAUCCGGAUUUAUUGGGUUUAAAGGGAGCGUAGGCCGUGGAUUAAGCGUGUUGUGAAAUGUAGACGCUCAACGUCUGAAUUGCAGCGCGAACUGGUUCACUUGAGUAUGCGCAACGUAGGCGGAAUUCGUCGUGUAGCGGUGAAAUGCUUAGAUAUGACGAAGAACUCCGAUUGCGAAGGCAGCUUACGGGAGCACAACUGACGCUGAAGCUCGAAGGUGCGGGUAUCAAACAGGAUUAGAUACCCUGGUAGUCCGCACAGUAAACGAUGGAUGCCCGUUGUUAGUUCACUUAAGAAUUAGCGACCAAGCGAAAGCAUUAAGCAUCCCACCUGGGGAGUACGCCGGCAACGGUG
RNAcentral lists this ribosomal RNA (543 nucleotides) under uncultured bacterium. RNAcentral describes it as "bacterial SSU rRNA". It matches the Rfam family "Bacterial small subunit ribosomal RNA", at positions 355 to 896 of the family's 1533-position model. The record is from RNAcentral.